AGCAGCCGCGGUAAUUCCAGCUCCAAUAGCGUAUAUUAAAGUUGUUGCAGUUAAAAAGCUCGUAGUUGAAUUUCGGGGUUAGUAGGUUGGUCAUGCCUCUGGUAUGUACUGGUGUUACUGGUUUCUACCUUCUGACGAACCAUCAUGUCAUUCAUUUGGUGUGGCGGGGAAUCAGGACUGUUACUUUGAAAAAAUUAGAGUGUUUAAAGCAGGCUCGCGCUUGAAUACAUUAGCAUGGAAUAAUGAAAUAGGACGUUGAUCCUAUUUUGUUGGUUUCUAGGAUUGACGUAAUGAUUAAUAGGGAUAGUUGGGGGCAUUAGUACUCAAUUGUCAGAGGUGAAAUUCUUGGAUUUAUUGAAGACUAACUACUGCGAAAGCAUUUGCCAAGGAUGUUUUCAUUAAUCAAGAACGAAAGUUAGGGGAUCGAAGACGAUCAGAUACCGUCGUAGCCUUAACCAUAAACUAUGCCGACUAGGGAUCGGAUGAUGUUAUUUUUAAUGACUCAUUCGGCGUCCG
This 516-nucleotide ribosomal RNA is filed under the name uncultured Glomus. RNAcentral describes it as "SSU rRNA". It matches the Rfam family "Eukaryotic small subunit ribosomal RNA", at positions 569 to 1089 of the family's 1831-position model. Lineage: Eukaryota; Fungi; Glomeromycota; Glomeromycetes; Glomerales; Glomeraceae. The record is from RNAcentral.